RNAcentral lists this ribosomal RNA (443 nucleotides) under Lachnospiraceae bacterium oral taxon 107. RNAcentral's name for it is "bacterial SSU rRNA". It matches the Rfam family "Bacterial small subunit ribosomal RNA", at positions 28 to 453 of the family's 1533-position model. The record is from RNAcentral. Lineage: Bacteria; Bacillati; Bacillota; Clostridia; Lachnospirales; Lachnospiraceae.
GAUGAACGCUGGCGGCGUGCUUAACACAUGCAAGUCGAACGAAGCUGCUUAAAGGAAGUUUUCGGAUGGAAUUUAGGUAGACUUAGUGGCGGACGGGUGAGUAACGCGUGGAUAACCUGCCUUAUACAGGGGGAUAACGGAGAGAAAUUUCCGCUAACACCGCAUAAGACCACAGCACCGCAUGGUGCAGGGGUAAAAUAUUUAUAGGUAUAAGAUGGAUCCGCGUCCGAUUAGCUAGUUGGUGAGGUAGAGGCUCACCAAGGCGACGAUCGGUAGCCGGCCUGAGAGGGUGAACGGCCACAUUGGGACUGAGACACGGCCCAAACUCCUACGGGAGGCAGCAGUGGGGAAUAUUGGACAAUGGGGGAAACCCUGAUCCAGCGACGCCGCGUGAGUGAAGAAGUAUUUCGGUAUGUAAAGCUCUAUCAGCCGGGAAGAAAAUG